This 223-nucleotide ribosomal RNA is filed under the name Campylobacter coli. RNAcentral's name for it is "partial 23S ribosomal RNA". It matches the Rfam family "Bacterial large subunit ribosomal RNA", at positions 1 to 240 of the family's 2925-position model. Lineage: Bacteria; Pseudomonadati; Campylobacterota; Epsilonproteobacteria; Campylobacterales; Campylobacteraceae. The record is from RNAcentral. RNAcentral also lists the same sequence under 1 other name.
AGGUAAGCUACUAAGAGCGAAUGGUGGAUGCCUUGACUGGUAAAGGCGAUGAAGGACGUACUAGACUGCGAUAAGCUACGGGGAGCUGUCAAGAAGCUUUGAUCCGUAGAUUUCCGAAUGGGGCAACCCAAUGUAUAGAGAUAUACAUUACCUAUAUAGGAGCGAACGAGGGGAAUUGAAACAUCUUAGUACCCUCAGGAAAAGAAAUCAAUAGAGAUUGCGU